This 467-nucleotide ribosomal RNA is filed under the name uncultured bacterium. RNAcentral's name for it is "partial 16S ribosomal RNA". It matches the Rfam family "Bacterial small subunit ribosomal RNA", at positions 29 to 507 of the family's 1533-position model. The record is from RNAcentral.
AUGAACGCUGGCGGCGUGCUUAACACAUGCAAGUCGAACGGAAAGGCCCUGCUUUUGUGGGGUGCUCGAGUGGCGAACGGGUGAGUAACACGUGAGUAACCUGCCCUUGACUUUGGGAUAACUUCAGGAAACUGGGGCUAAUACCGGAUAGGAGCUCCUGCUGCAUGGUGGGGGUUGGAAAGUUUCGGCGGUUGGGGAUGGACUCGCGGCUUAUCAGCUUGUUGGUGGGGUAGUGGCUUACCAAGGCUUUGACGGGUAGCCGGCCUGAGAGGGUGACCGGCCACAUUGGGACUGAGAUACGGCCCAGACUCCUACGGGAGGCAGCAGUGGGGAAUAUUGCACAAUGGGCGGAAGCCUGAUGCAGCAACGGCGCGUGCGGGAUGACGGCCUUCGGGUUGUAAACCGCUUUCGCCUGUGACGAAGCGUGAGUGACGGUAAUGGGUAAAGAAGCACCGGCUAACUACGUG